Molecule: long non-coding RNA, 868 nt
Filed under: Hordeum vulgare
Lineage: Eukaryota; Viridiplantae; Streptophyta; Magnoliopsida; Poales; Poaceae
Description: long non-coding RNA (HVUL_LNC006663)
Source: RNAcentral
UNUUUUUGAUGUUGUGAUAGCUACUGCUGUUUCAAUGUUCUGAACUUCUGAGAAGGGUCAUAGAGACAUAGACUGGGUGUUCAAUGUUGGAAUAUAUCUACUUCCUGUUAUCAUUUCUGAUGGGACUUUGUGCAAUGUUGGCUUGAUUAUUUGCAGAACAGCCUGCAAAUACUGCAGGUUAUAUGUAGAACAUUUGGAACUUUGCAUAAAGCGUAUAGCAAGUGUACUGUAUGUACCAGUACAUGUUACAGCGAUACGGCAUAAAAUGCAAAAAAUUAGAUUUAAUAUUCUAUUUAUAUACUAGCAUAGACCGUUUAUCCGAUUCACAACAGACUGCACAGGAACAACACCACAUCAGAAACAAAGUACUCCCUUCGUUCCAUAAUAUAAAAGUGUUUUAAUCUCUUAUAUAUUAUUAAUACAAAUGCCCGCGGAUUGUACCGGGUUAGAAAAAAGUACAUAAUCUAUUUUUUUUGCCAUUAAAUGUUAAAUGUAAGACAUCGGUAUGGUGUAAGUGUUUUUAGCAGCAUUCACAAAUUAGUGGCUAUCGAUCGUUGCUGCAGCUGAGUACCAAUGCAUAAACAAUCUUGGGUGAUUAGCCAAAGAACUACUUUCGUAAGUUUGGGCAUUGUACAGAACCACGACCUGCCCAAGGAUUGAUGGGGAUCCUUGACACAGCAUCGAGCUGGUGAACCAGGCGUGCACCCGGCUCAGGGAGUUGACCGACGCGGAGGGCCUCAAGGCCGUCGAUCUGGUCACCACCAUGAUAGCACGCCGGGUGGAGUGAAGCCUGAUUUAAACCUUGUGGUUGUAAAGCUCGUUGUAAACAAACCAUCAUCUUUAAAUCCCUGAAGUUUGUACCCUAUCC